Molecule: ribosomal RNA, 468 nt
Filed under: uncultured bacterium
Lineage: Bacteria
Description: partial 16S ribosomal RNA
Rfam family: Bacterial small subunit ribosomal RNA
Source: RNAcentral
GACGAACGCUGGCGGCGUGCUUAACACAUGCAAGUCGAACGGAAAGGCCCUGCUUUUGUGGGGUGCUCGAUUGGCGAACGGGUGAGUAACACGGGAGUAACCUGCCCUUGACUUUGGUAUAACUUCAGGAAACUAGGGCUAAUACCUGAUAGGAUCUCCUGUUGCAUGGUGGGGGUUGGAAAGUUUCGGCGGUUGGGGAUGGACUCGCGGCUUAUCAGCUUGUUGGUGGGGUAGUGGCUUACCAAGGCUUUGACGGGUAGCCGGCCUGAGAGGUUGACCGGCCAAAUUGGGACUGCGAUACGGCCCAGACUCCUACGGGAGGCAUCAGUGGGGAAUAUUGCACAAUGGGCGGAAGCCUGAUGCAGCAACGCCGCGUGCGGGAUGACGGCCUUCGGGUUGUAAACCGCUUUCGCCUGUGACGAAGCGUGAGUGACGGUAAUGGGUAAAGAAGCACCGGCUAACUACGUG